GCGCCAGCCGCCGGGCACCUUUGCCCACCUGCGCUGUAAGCCUGAACCAGGGCGGGGGAAGUCCCGGAGACGUUUGCGCAGGCGACCUCGAGAGAGCACGAUUGAGCACGAGCAGCGUGAGGGGCAGAACAGACCCUAAUAAUCCGUUUUAAUACUACCUGCAGGAAAAAUGUGAGAACCACUGCUCUAGAAGGUGUACGAUGUCAGGAUUCAGCAAUUCUGCACAUUACUCAGCCCUCCCCAAGAUGAGUGUACUCUUAAUCCCCUUCACCUGUUUUAUCCAUCUCCUCAUCUACCUCCCCUCUGGCAACCACUACUUUGUUCUCUAUAAUCAGGAGUCUGUCUUUCUCUUUGUCUCUUUUUGCCUUGUUCAUUUGUUUUCUUUCAAUAACUGUUGAGUGCUUUCUGGAUAGCAUGGUGCCAGGCACUCGCUUUGUUUUAGGCAUUGAGGCAGACGAUGCUGGUUACCUUCCAGUGUUCACUUUGUUCUUCUUUACUAGUCAACACUGACCUUGCUUAGGUGGCAGUGUGUUCAGUCUAAGAAGAAGAAGAAGAAUUCUCCUAGCCUCUCAUGCAACUACAGCUUGUCGUGUGGCACAGUUCCAUCCAGUAAGACAAAUGUGGAAGAUGGUCAGAACUGUCUGAGAAGGUUUUGCGUUCCUGCCCUCUGCACGGCUCCUUCUUCCUGCUUGUGUCAGGGCAGGAAUGCUGGGGUCAACGUCGCCAUGCUUCAACUAUGAUUUCCCUAAGGCAAAGAGCCAACAACCAUCAGCAGCCACCCUCUUCCAGACUGCUUAGGGCAUGAGAAAAAAAUCAGCCACAAGUUUUGCUGAUGCCACAGGUUAACCAGGUUUCCCAUUACUCAAGAAUGAUCAAAAUCCCUGGUUUGAGGAUAUAAACAUGAACAAAACAAUUCGUAGUCUUAAGGAGCUCCUAAAGGAGAGACAUUGGAAAUCAACACAGGAAACCCCAGAGGACAACGUGCUCCACAAGGGCCCACUGGUUGCAGGUGGGAGAAGUGAAUGAAGACUUAGAGGUAAGAGGAGAGCCCAAGGAAGGCUUCACAGAAGAGGAAAGUCUUAGGUUGUGUGUUUAAAGAAAAAGAAGUGUUGGGAUGUUCCAGCAGUGGCUGGCAGCACCGUGCAGAACCAGCCCACUAGCUCCAACUCCUGGUUCUGCUGGUCACUCGGUCGCCUCGUUGCAUGUGAACUGCAGACAGGCACACAAAUUGAUCUUUUUGAUUUCGUUCCCAGUGCCUGGCAUUUAGGAGAGGCUCAAAAUACACUUGCUGAAUUGAGACCUCUCUGAAGUUCCAUAGAACCAGGCACCUUCUACCAUAUUUUAUUUCAUGGUUAUGCUAAUAAUUUAUAGCCAUUUACCCCCUCUAGAAAGCAUAUGGCACAAGGGGGCAUCCAUUGGUAUCUGAGGUAGAUCGAAUGCCUAGAACUGUGCCUAGCACACAGUAGGUACUCAAUAAAUUCUUGUUGCAUGAAUGAGCACCAAGUUUUCUCAUCUAUAAAAUGUAGAUAACUAUAGCUAUCAAAAAGGAUUGAGUGGAUAAGAGAAAAAUGCAUUUCAAAUGUCUUGCCCUGAACUUCUCACAUGGGUAGCUGUAACGAUGCUUUUGUCUUCUGUAAAACUUGGAGACCCAUUCCUAACAUAGCCACAAGCAGCAACACUUGAGGUCAGCAGCCUAGUCUGUUCUUAGAACUGAGACUGGUUUGAGCAUUUCUCGGGGCCAGUGUGGCAGUUCCAGCAGGGAAGUGUUCGCCUGAAGUACUGGAAAGUCUGUCAGGAGAGAACUGGUCCCAGGAAAGAAUUUCUCUUGGGGGGGAAAAGUCAGUAUUCACGAACUUGAUUCAAAAAUCAGUGAGCCCUGAUGCUCAGACGGUCUUUAGGCCCAAUACCCAUAGAUUCUGCUUGAGGUUCAGGAAGGGUGACCCACAAAAUAAGAGGGCUGUUUUGUUAAAAUAUCCCAGACUAUGUGAGCCCUGGGUUCUGCUGCCUUAUUAGCAAACUGCAGCAGUUGCUGUCUGGACAGAAGAAGUGGGAGGAUGUGACACCAUGGGUGCCUUGGCCUUCUGAGGCUGAUCUGGCAGCAAGUGGCAGAGCAGUUGAAAUAAAUAUGUGAAUGAUAGCGGAACAGAACCUUGUUCCAAGCACAUGUGAUGCCAGGAAUAGCUAGGAAGAGAUGAAGUCACUGGAGUCUCUACAGAGAAGGUGGGGACAAGGAAACAUUGUAUUGUGACCCUGUAUUUCCCAAGAGAUUGGUUAUAGUCUCAAGAAAUGUUAAACAGGUGACAAUAGAGAUCAUGCCUUCUAGUUACCUAAUUACCUACAGUUCUCUCCAUACUCUGGUUUGUUGCUUAAGAGAAAAAAAAAUCUGUUCUUUCUCUUAAAAAUUCUA
Molecule: long non-coding RNA, 2407 nt
Organism: Mustela erminea (ermine)
Lineage: Eukaryota; Metazoa; Chordata; Mammalia; Carnivora; Mustelidae
Exons: 3
Source: RefSeq, a predicted model, not a curated record